RNAcentral lists this ribosomal RNA (486 nucleotides) under uncultured bacterium. RNAcentral describes it as "bacterial SSU rRNA". It matches the Rfam family "Bacterial small subunit ribosomal RNA", at positions 28 to 526 of the family's 1533-position model. The record is from RNAcentral.
GACGAACGCUGGCGGCGUGCUUAACACAUGCAAGUCGAACGAUGAACUGGGGCUUGCUUCAGGGAUUAGUGGCGAACGGGUGAGUAACACGUGAGUAACCUGCCCUUGACUCUGGGAUAAGCGUUGGAAACGACGUCUAAUACCGGAUAUGAGCUGUGGCCGCAUGGUCUGCAGUUGGAAAGAUUUUUUGGUCAAGGAUGGACUCGCGGCCUAUCAGGUUGUUGGUGAGGUAAUGGCUCACCAAGCCUACGACGGGUAGCCGGCCUGAGAGGGUGACCGGCCACACUGGGACUGAGACACGGCCCAGACUCCUACGGGAGGCAGCAGUGGGGAAUAUUGCACAAUGGGCGAAAGCCUGAUGCAGCAACGCCGCGUGAGGGAUGACGGCCUUCGGGUUGUAAACCUCUUUUAGUAGGGAAGAAGGGAUCUUGACGGUACCUGCAGAAAAAGCACCGGCUAACUACGUGCCAGCAGCCGCGGUAACAC